RNAcentral lists this ribosomal RNA (603 nucleotides) under uncultured Pseudomonadota bacterium. Its description in RNAcentral is "bacterial SSU rRNA". It matches the Rfam family "Bacterial small subunit ribosomal RNA", at positions 35 to 615 of the family's 1533-position model. The record is from RNAcentral. Lineage: Bacteria; Pseudomonadati; Pseudomonadota.
GCUGGCGGCGUGCCUAACACAUGCAAGUUGUACGAGUAAAGUCGCCUUCGGGUGGCGAGUAAAGUGGCGCACGGGUGAGUAACGCGUAGGUAAUCAGCCCCGCGGACCGGGAUAACAUCUGGUUGAUGCUAAUACCGGAUAAAAUCCCCUUUUUUACGGAAGGGGGGAUCAAAGGAAGCCUCUGAAUGUAUGCGACCGCCGAGGGAAGAGCCUGCGUGCCAUUAGCUUGUUGGUGGGGUAAUUGCCUACCAAGGCGAAGAUGGCUAGCUGGUCUGAGAGGAUGGCCAGCCACACUGGAACUGAGACACGGUCCAGACUCCUGCGGGAGGCAGCAGUGAGGAAUCUUGCGCAAUGGGGGAAACCCUGACGCAGCAACGCCGCGUGAGUGAUGAAGGCCUUCGGGUUGUAAAGCUCUGUCAGGUGGGAAGAAAGUCGCGAGGGGAUAACCUUGGCGAUCUGACGGUACCACCAAAGGAAGCACCGGCUAACUCCGUGCCAGCAGCCGCGGUAAGACGGAGGGUGCAAGCGUUGUUCGGAAUUAUUGGGCGUAAAGCGCGUGUAGGCGGUGAGAUAAGUCCGAUGUGAAAGCCUUGGGCUCAACCC